This 821-nucleotide ribosomal RNA is filed under the name Antarctic bacterium L21. RNAcentral's name for it is "bacterial SSU rRNA". It matches the Rfam family "Bacterial small subunit ribosomal RNA", at positions 62 to 893 of the family's 1533-position model. The record is from RNAcentral.
UCGAACGGUGAAGCCCAGCUUGCUGGGUGGAUCAGUGGCGAACGGGUGAGUAACACGUGAGCAACCUGCCCCUGACUCUGGGAUAAGCGCUGGAAACGGCGUCUAAUACUGGAUACGAGACGUGAUCGCAUGGUCAACGUUUGGAAAGAUUUUUCGGUUGGGGAUGGGCUCGCGGCCUAUCAGCUUGUUGGUGAGGUAAUGGCUCACCAAGGCGUCGACGGGUAGCCGGCCUGAGAGGGUGACCGGCCACACUGGGACUGAGACACGGCCCAGACUCCUACGGGAGGCAGCAGUGGGGAAUAUUGCACAAUGGGCGCAAGCCUGAUGCAGCAACGCCGCGUGAGGGAUGACGGCCUUCGGGUUGUAAACCUCUUUUAGCAGGGAAGAAGCGAGAGUGACGGUACCUGCAGAAAAAGCACCGGCUAACUACGUGCCAGCAGCCGCGGUAAUACGUAGGGUGCAAGCGUUAUCCGGAAUUAUUGGGCGUAAAGAGCUCGUAGGCGGUUUGUCGCGUCUGCUGUGAAAUCUGGGGGCUCAACCCCCAGCCUGCAGUGGGUACGGGCAGACUAGAGUGCGGUAGGGGAGAUUGGAAUUCCUGGUGUAGCGGUGGAAUGCGCAGAUAUCAGGAGGAACACCGAUGGCGAAGGCAGAUCUCUGGGCCGUAACUGACGCUGAGGAGCGAAAGGGUGGGGAGCAAACAGGCUUAGAUACCCUGGUAGUCCACCCCGUAAACGUUGGGAACUAGUUGUGGGGUCCAUUCCACGGAUUCCGUGACGCAGCUAACGCAUUAAGUUCCCCGCCUGGGGAGUACGGCCGCAAGG